Molecule: long non-coding RNA, 410 nt
Filed under: Physcomitrium patens
Lineage: Eukaryota; Viridiplantae; Streptophyta; Bryopsida; Funariales; Funariaceae
Description: long non-coding RNA (PPAT_LNC008206)
Source: RNAcentral
UAUAAUUGAUUCAUAGGUUAGAAACUUAGUCAAUAAAUUAAUCGCAUGUUGAUAGCUUUGCUAAAUAAGUUAAUUAUGUAGCACACAUAUAGAAAACUUGACUUACAAGUUAAGAUAUGUAUCUUGCCAACCUAUAGGAUAUCGCCACACAAUUCUUGGUUAAGAAUAUAUAUGGACACAAGAGUUAAGCUUUCUUCACUCUUGUCAAUGCUUUCUUAGUCUUUACUCUUAUUUCAAGACUUUUUAGUCUUCUUAUCUUUUGCAAUAGCCAUUUUAGUUUAAUACUAUAUCAUCUUUGUUUGAUUUUCUAGUCUUUUUGAGUGAUAUAAGAGUAUAUUGAUAUUUUAAUUCUUUGAAAUUCAUGUCAUUGGCAAUUUAGUACAUGUACUUUUGGAUUCUUUAUAAUAAUG